UACGGAGGAUGCAAGCGUUAUCCGGAUUUAUUGGGUUUAAAGGGUGCGCAGGUUGUUUGAUAAGUCAGUGGUGAAAGUCUGUCGCUUAACGGUAGGAUUGCCAUUGAUACUGUUAGACUUGAAUAUGGAUGAGGUAGGCGGAAUGUGUAGUGUAGCGGUGAAAUGCAUAGAUAUUACACAGAACACCGAUUACGAAGGCAGCUUACUAAUCCAUCAUUGACGCUGAGGCACGAAAGCGUGGGGAUCAAACAGGA
This 254-nucleotide ribosomal RNA is filed under the name uncultured prokaryote. Its description in RNAcentral is "partial 16S ribosomal RNA". It matches the Rfam family "Bacterial small subunit ribosomal RNA", at positions 524 to 777 of the family's 1533-position model. The record is from RNAcentral.